This 397-nucleotide ribosomal RNA is filed under the name uncultured bacterium. RNAcentral's name for it is "partial 16S ribosomal RNA". It matches the Rfam family "Bacterial small subunit ribosomal RNA", at positions 523 to 918 of the family's 1533-position model. The record is from RNAcentral.
AUACGUCGGGGGCGAGCGUUGUCCGGAAUGAUUGGGCGUAAAGGGCGCGUAGGCGGCGCGGUAAGUCUGGAGUGAAAGUCCUGCUUUCAAGGUGGGAAUUGCUUUGGAUACUGCCGCGCUUGAGUGCAGGAGAGGUUAUCGGAAUUCCCGGUGUAGCGGUGAAAUGCGUAGAGAUCGGGAGGAACACCAGUGGCGAAGGCGGGUAACUGGACUGCAACUGACGCUGAGGCGCGAAAGUGUGGGGAGCAAACAGGAUUAGAUACCCUGGUAGUCCACACUGUAAACGAUGAAUGCUAGGUGUAAGAGGUAUCGACCCCUUUUGUGCCGGAGUCAACACAAUAAGCAUUCCGCCUGGGGAGUACGGCCGCAAGGUUGAAACUCAAAGGAAUUGACGGGG